GUGAAUCAUCGAAUUUUUGAACGCAAAUUGCACUCUUUUCGGAGAGUAUGCCUGUUUGAGGGUGAGUCUAUAAAAAAUCGACAUCGUUGUUGUUUCGCGGUGGCGUUCGUCGGAAAUUGGGUAAUCUUAAAUCCUUUUGUUUCAAGUGACUUAAAAGUUUCUUUUGGUUUCAUGAACGUUUCUAAGAUCUAUUUCUUUACACGUUUUAGGUAUAGAUUUUUAUUAGACGUGACUAUCAUUUCGGAUGCU
RNAcentral lists this unclassified non-coding RNA (249 nucleotides) under Glomeraceae sp. RNAcentral describes it as "partial contains 5.8S ribosomal RNA and internal transcribed spacer 2". The stretch from base 1 to 65 matches the Rfam family "5.8S ribosomal RNA", at positions 84 to 154 of the family's 154-position model. Lineage: Eukaryota; Fungi; Glomeromycota; Glomeromycetes; Glomerales; Glomeraceae. The record is from RNAcentral.